AAUUCGCCCUUUCCGGUUGAUCCUGCCGGACCCGACUGCUAUCGGAUUGAGAUUUAGCCAUGCGAGUUGAACGUCCCUUGAUUGCAGGGGGCGUAGCAUACGGCUCAGUAACACGUAGUCAACCUGCCCUGGAGACGCGGAUAACCCCGGGAAACUGGGACCAAUCCGUGAUAGGUCGCCCCAUCUGGAAGGAGGGGCGGCCCAAAGGGGAAUUGUGGGCUUCCACUUUUCUCGCUCUAGGAUGGGACUGCGGCCGAUCAGGCUGUUGGCGGGGUAAUGGCCCACCAAACCUGUAACCGGUACGGGCCUUGAGAGAGGUGGCCCGGAGAUGGACACUGAGACAAGGGUCCAGGUCCUACGGGGCGCAGCAGGCGCGAAACCUUCGCAAUGUGCGAAAGCAUGACGAGGUUAAUCCGAGUGGCUUCCGCUGAGGAAGUCUUUUGCCGACUGUAAAAAGGUCGGAGAAUAAGGGGAGGGCAAGUCUGGUGUCAGCCGCCGCGGUAAUACCAGCUCCUCGAGUGGUCGGGGCGAUUAUUGGGCCUAAAGCAUCCGUAGCCGGUUCCGUAGGUCUCCUGCAAAAUCCAGUCGCUCAACGAUUGGCCCGCAGGAGAUACCGCGGGACUAGGAGGCGGGAGAGGUGGACGGUACUCCACGUGUAGGGGUAAAAUCCUUUGAUCCGUGGAAGACCACCAGUGGCGAAGGCGGUCCACCAGAACGCGCUCGACGGUGAGGGAUGAAAGCUGGGGGAGCGAACCGGAUUAGAUACCCGGGUAGUCCCAGCCGUAAACGAUGCUACCUAGAUGAUCCGAUCGUAAAUCAUGAUCGGAGUGUCGCAGGGAAGCCGUUAAGCUAGCCGCCUGGGGAGUCCGGUCGCAAGACUGAAACUUAAAGGAAUUGGCGGGGGAGCACCACAAGGGGUGAAGCCUGCGGUUCAAUUGGAGUCAACGCCAGGAAACUUACCAGGAGAGACAGCAGAUUGAGGGUCAGACUGAAGAUCUUACCUGACGAGCUGAGAGGAGGUGCAUGGCCGUCGCCAGCUCGUGCCGUGAGGCGUCCUGUUAAGUCAGGCAACGAGCGAGACCCAAAGGGCGA
This 1092-nucleotide ribosomal RNA is filed under the name uncultured Nitrososphaerota archaeon. RNAcentral describes it as "bacterial SSU rRNA". It matches the Rfam family "Archaeal small subunit ribosomal RNA", at positions 1 to 1062 of the family's 1478-position model. Lineage: Archaea; Thermoproteati; Nitrososphaerota. The record is from RNAcentral.